RNAcentral lists this ribosomal RNA (490 nucleotides) under uncultured bacterium. RNAcentral describes it as "partial 16S ribosomal RNA". It matches the Rfam family "Bacterial small subunit ribosomal RNA", at positions 29 to 507 of the family's 1533-position model. The record is from RNAcentral.
AGUGAACGCUGGCGGUAGGCCUAACACAUGCAAGUCGAGCGGCAGCACAGUAAGAGCUUGCUCUUACGGGUGGCGAGUGGCGGACGGGUGAGGAAUACAUCGGAAUCUACUUUUUCGUGGGGGAUAACGUAGGGAAACUUACGCUAAUACCGCAUACGACCUACGGGUGAAAGCAGGGGAUCUUCGGACCUUGCGCGAUUGAAUGAGCCGAUGUCGGAUUAGCUAGUUGGCGGGGUAAAGGCCCACCAAGGCGACGAUCCGUAGCUGGUCUGAGAGGAUGAUCAGCCACACUGGAACUGAGACACGGUCCAGACUCCUACGGGAGGCAGCAGUGGGGAAUAUUGGACAAUGGGCGCAAGCCUGAUCCAGCCAUACCGCGUGGGUGAAGAAGGCCUUCGGGUUGUAGCCCUUUUGUUGGGAAAGAAAAGCAGCAGGUUAAUACCCCGCUGUUCUGACGGUACCCAAAGAAUAAGCACCGGCUAACUUCGUG